This 90-nucleotide transfer RNA is filed under the name Candidatus Nanopelagicaceae bacterium. Its description in RNAcentral is "tRNA-Ser". It matches the Rfam family "tRNA". Rfam says of the family: Transfer RNA (tRNA) molecules are approximately 80 nucleotides in length. The record is from RNAcentral. RNAcentral also lists the same sequence under 3 other names. Lineage: Bacteria; Bacillati; Actinomycetota; Actinomycetes; Candidatus Nanopelagicales; Candidatus Nanopelagicaceae.
GGAGACGUCGCAUAGCCCGGUCGAGUGCGCCUCACUGCUAACGAGGUAAGGGGUUAAACCCUUCAGGAGUUCAAAUCUCCUCGUCUCCGC